GUAGUCCACGCAGUAAACGAUGAAUACUAGGCGAGGGGUUUGCUUGACAAACUUCGUGCCGUAGCUAACGCGAUAAGUAUUCCGCCUGGGGAGUACGGCCGCAAGGUUAAAACUCAAAGGAAUUGACGGGGACCCGCACAAGCGGUGGAGCAUGUGGUUUAAUUCGAUGCAACGCGAAGAACCUUACCUACCCUUGACAUGUAUGGAAUCUUGCAGAGAUGUGAGAGUGCCCGCGAGGGAGCCAUAACACAGGUGCUGCAUGGCUGUCGUCAGCUCGUGUCGUGAGAUGUUGGGUUAAGUCCCGCAACGAGCGCAACCCUCGCCCUUAGUUGCCAUCAUUCAGUUGGGCACUCUAAGGGGACUGCCGGUGAUAAGCCGCGAGGAAGGUGGGGAUGACGUCAAGUCCUCAUGGCCCUUACAGGCUGGGCUACACACGUGCUACAAUGGCGGUGACAAUGGGCAGCGAACCCGCAAGGGGGAGCUAAUCUCAAAAAGCCGUCUCAGUUCGGAUUGCACUCUGCAACUCGAGUGCAAGAAGUUGGAAUCGCUAGUAAUCGUGGAUCAGAACGCCACGGUGAAUACGUUCCCGGGCCUUGUACACACCGCCCGUCACACCAUGGGAGUUGGUUUUACCUUAAGACGGUUUGCUAACCGCAAGGAGGCAGCCGGCCACGGUAAGGUCAGCGACUGGGGUG
Molecule: ribosomal RNA, 695 nt
Filed under: uncultured bacterium
Lineage: Bacteria
Description: bacterial SSU rRNA
Rfam family: Bacterial small subunit ribosomal RNA
Source: RNAcentral